UACGUAGGGGGCUAGCGUUGUCCGGAAUCAUUGGGCGUAAAGAGCGUGUAGGCGGCCCGGUAAGUCCGCUGUGAAAGUCGGGGGCUCAACCCUCGAAUGCCGGUGGAUACUGUCGGGCUAGAGUGCGGAAGAGGCGAGUGGAAUUCCUGGUGUAGCGGUGAAAUGCGCAGAUAUCGGGAGGAACACCAGUGGCGAAGGCGACUACCUGGCCUGUUCUUGACGCUGAGGCGCGAAAGCUGGGGGAGCAAACGGG
Molecule: ribosomal RNA, 253 nt
Filed under: uncultured bacterium
Lineage: Bacteria
Description: partial 16S ribosomal RNA
Rfam family: Bacterial small subunit ribosomal RNA
Source: RNAcentral